CUGCCACCUCAGCCGCGCUAGGUCCCGGCAGACGCCAGCCGCUAGCCUCCAGACGCUGACGGUCCUGCCACGCUCGCCGCCGCCGCCGCCGCCGCCGACGCCGCGGGCACGACAGAGCUAAGACAUCAAGCACACAAAGAAUUUUAUGCCUACAAACAGGUUAUAUUAAAAGAGAAAGUAAAAGAACUGAAUUUACAUGAGGUAAGUAUUUUAACUUCUUCUUGAGCUGUGUUCUAAUAGAACUGAUAUAUAAUGGAAUGCUUAAACACCUUUAUUUUCAGAAGCUGAAAAAAUUAGACUGAUUUUGAUCAGCUUCAUAGAAUAUUUGAGGGUGAGGUCACAUAAAAAUCUUCUUUGUGAAGACUUCUAGGGGAGUAAAAUAACUCGGUUUUAGUAGGAAAGUCCAGCGUAAGUUGUAAUAGCAGCAGAGUUGCUGCUUGCUGUCCAUUCUAUACAAGCAGGAGAUAGAGAUAAAUUAGUUUCACUACUCAAGAUGAAUUUGCACUAAUUUCACUUUUGAAAAUGUUCCCAGUAGUCCUUUCUUACCAAAGGCACAAGAAAGGCAGUGAUUACUUCAUGAGGGUGGGGAUUUAAGGAGGUGAGACAGAGGGAUGAAAUAGGGAAGAACAUAUAGGGAGAGAUAGGAACUUUCGGGAUUGUCUCUUGAUGAGGUUGCAUGUCUGGGGUGUUUACUAUGUUGUCAUGCUUUCUAAGUUAAAAACAAAAGUGUGUGUGUAUGCUGCUGUACACCUUAAGACACAUAGUGUAUAAUAAUUCUUGUUUAUUUUGUUCUUUGUGUUGUCUCUGAUUACAAAUGUUCAGAAUUUUUAUUUUUAAUUUUAGAGGCCUUUCUCUUCCUCCCUUUCUAAGUUUUUAAACUGGUGUUUACCACAAAGACUUGGAAAGCUGCAUGUUGUAAUAUUUACGUUUACUAUAACCCAACUGUGGUGAAGCUACAUUGCCAAUCUCUUCAAAGAGAGUUAAUUUGUGAAAUUAUUUGAAUAAUAAUAAUAAUGAUUUAUAUUAGAAUUCAUCUACUGGUACUUUGCUCUUUCUGCAUACUUUUUAUCUAAGAGUUGAUAUGGUAUGGCAUUUCAGACCUAACCUUGGAUUAAACUCAAGCAUCAGUUACUGUUUGAUUUUU
RNAcentral lists this long non-coding RNA (1144 nucleotides) under Sus scrofa (pig). RNAcentral's name for it is "lncRNA (ENSSSCG00035033238.1, ENSSSCG00055020517.1)". The record is from RNAcentral. Lineage: Eukaryota; Metazoa; Chordata; Mammalia; Artiodactyla; Suidae.